UACAGAGGUCCCAAGCGUUGUUCGGAUUCACUGGGCGUAAAGGGUGCGUAGGUGGUGGGGUAAGUCUGAUGUGAAAUCUCCGAGCUUAACUCGGAAAUGGCAUCGGAUACUAUUCUGCUAGAGGGCUGGAGAGGAGACUGGAAUUCUCGGUGUAGCAGUGAAAUGCGUAGAUAUCGAGAGGAACACCCGUGGCGAAGGCAAGUCUCUGGACAGCACCUGACACUGAGGCACGAAAGCUAGGGGAGCAAACAGG
RNAcentral lists this ribosomal RNA (253 nucleotides) under uncultured bacterium. RNAcentral's name for it is "partial 16S ribosomal RNA". It matches the Rfam family "Bacterial small subunit ribosomal RNA", at positions 524 to 776 of the family's 1533-position model. The record is from RNAcentral.